This 572-nucleotide ribosomal RNA is filed under the name Avibacterium gallinarum. RNAcentral describes it as "bacterial SSU rRNA". It matches the Rfam family "Bacterial small subunit ribosomal RNA", at positions 1 to 559 of the family's 1533-position model. The record is from RNAcentral. Lineage: Bacteria; Pseudomonadati; Pseudomonadota; Gammaproteobacteria; Pasteurellales; Pasteurellaceae.
UUAAACUGAAGAGUUUGAUCAUGGCUCAGAUUGAACGCUGGCGGCAGGCUUAACACAUGCAAGUCGAACGGUAACGGGUUGAAAGCUUGCUUUCAAUGCUGACGAGUGGCGGACGGGUGAGUAAUGCUUGGGAAUCUGGCUUAUGGAGGGGGAUAACCAUUGGAAACGAUGGCUAAUACCGCAUAGAAUCGGAAGAUUAAAGGGUGGGACUUUUUGCCACCUGCCAUAAGAUGAGCCCAAGUGGGAUUAGGUAGUUGGUGAGGUGAAGGCUCACCAAGCCUGCGAUCUCUAGCUGGUCUGAGAGGAUGGCCAGCCACACUGGGACUGAGACACGGCCCAGACUCCUACGGGAGGCAGCAGUGGGGAAUAUUGCGCAAUGGGGGGAACCCUGACGCAGCCAUGCCGCGUGAAUGAAGAAGGCCUUCGGGUUGUAAAGUUCUUUCGGUGGUGAGGAAGGUUGGUGUGUUAAUAGCACACUGAUUUGACGUUAGCCACAGAAGAAGCACCGGCUAACUCCGUGCCAGCAGCCGCGGUAAUACGGAGGGUGCGAGCGUUAAUCGGAAUAACUGGGC